This 253-nucleotide ribosomal RNA is filed under the name uncultured bacterium. Its description in RNAcentral is "partial 16S ribosomal RNA". It matches the Rfam family "Bacterial small subunit ribosomal RNA", at positions 524 to 776 of the family's 1533-position model. The record is from RNAcentral.
UACGUAGGGGGCAAGCGUUGUCCGGAAUCAUUGGGCGUAAAGAGCGUGUAGGCGGCCAGAAAAGUCCGCUGUGAAAACUCGAGGCUCAACUUCGAGCUGUCGGUGGAAACUUUCUGGCUAGAGUCCGGAAGAGGAGAAUGGAAUUCCUGGUGUAGCAGUGAAAUGCGCAGAUAUCAGGAAGAACACCCGUGGCGAAGGCGGUUCUCUGGGACGGUACUGACGCUGAGACGCGAAAGCGUGGGGAGCGAACAGG